Molecule: long non-coding RNA, 392 nt
Organism: Hyla sarda
Lineage: Eukaryota; Metazoa; Chordata; Amphibia; Anura; Hylidae
Exons: 3
Source: RefSeq, a predicted model, not a curated record
GAGCCAACAAUGUCCACGUGUCAGACUCUGCAGAGAAGAUGUAGCUGGAAGAAGUCCUGGUGCCUGGACCAACAAAGAACACAUCACUCAGGUCACUGAGAUCAUUGUAUAGUCUCCUGACUGUCCCAUCAGAGCUGUAGUCACUUAGAGAGGGAGGAAGGCGCCUCAUGUGCGGGAUCAGCAGGUCUUGUUAGUGGGGGAAGGGGACGGUAAUUCCCAAGCCGCUUACCAGAGUUGGUUGUGCGCCCACGCACAACAAGAACAUCCGCUCCUGCCAUGCAGCCAAUUCCUAAGAUACAGGCAACUGCACCAAUGAAAUGUAAAACCUUAUAUCGCACCAGCAAGAAAAACCAGGACAGUAAUAUGACCACGGGGAUCACAAAACAAUUAAG